RNAcentral lists this ribosomal RNA (497 nucleotides) under uncultured bacterium. RNAcentral describes it as "partial 16S ribosomal RNA". It matches the Rfam family "Bacterial small subunit ribosomal RNA", at positions 28 to 507 of the family's 1533-position model. The record is from RNAcentral.
GACGAACGCUGGCGGCGUGCCUAAUACAUGCCAGUUGAGCGCUGAAGGUUGGUACUUGUACCAACCGGAUGAGCCGCGAACGGGUGAGUAACGCGUGGGGACUCUGCCUUUGAGCGGGGGACAACAUUGGGACACGAAUGCUAAUACCGCAUAAGAACUUUAAACACAAGUGUUAAGUUUGAAAGAUGCCAUUGCGUCAUGCACAGAUGACUCCGCGUUGUAUUAGCUAGUUGGUGAGGUAAAGGCGCACCAAGGCGAGGAAGCAUAGCACACCUGAGAGGGUGAGUGGCCGCACUGGGACUGAGACCCGCCCCAAACUGCCUGGGGAGGCGGCAGGAGGGAAUCUUCGGGAAUGGGCGAAAGUCAGACCGAGCAACGCCGCGGGAGGGAAGAACGGCUUCGGAUCCGAAAACUCUGUUGGUAGGGAAGAAAGUUGGUGAGAGUGGAACGCACAUCAAGUGACGGUAACUACUCAGAAAGCAACGGCUAACUACGUG